Molecule: long non-coding RNA, 603 nt
Organism: Aedes aegypti (yellow fever mosquito)
Lineage: Eukaryota; Metazoa; Arthropoda; Insecta; Diptera; Culicidae
Exons: 2
Source: RefSeq, a predicted model, not a curated record
UGUAGAAAAAAAUCGCCGUCGGAUUGCCGUCGAAGGAAAACUGUCAAGCUGUAUUGUUUACUUCUUAUUCCACUCUUAAAACUGUUCAAAGCUUACAAUUAAUUUAUAAAAGUCGAGUGAGAGUGAAAUUAAGUUUACAGAACAGCAAUGCACAUAAAAAGGACAACUUCGAUGGACCCAGAACUGCGCACCAAAAUCGAUACCGCUUGCCGGAUGGAGGAGGAAUUCAUCAAUCUGUACAACGAAAAAGUAGCCAAGAAGCGGCAUCAGAUGACCCGGCUCUACAUGGACAACGGUUUGCUGAUGUCAUCAGCAACAUCCAGAAGUACUUCCAGGAACUGCCCCGCUUUGAACACAUUAUGAACACCCUGGUCACUCAGCCGAUCAUUGGCGACGCUGUGUCCUCGCAGCUGACGUUCAUCAUCAAGGUUUCGGGAACGGUCAUCUACCAGGACAAUUCUACCAAACCCUUCCAGAAGACAUUCACGGUUACAGCCCAGGGCGACAAGUGGAAGAUUGCGAGUGAUUGCAGCGCUGCUUCCGGUUGUUGGAUGCUAUCUUUUUAGGGAAUCGAUCAAUACAUGGAUGCAUUGGAAAGCGAUA